CACAGUUUACUAAACUAUGAAUGGCAGAUUGAAAUUGUUUGUUAUCUGUUUGUUUGAACAAAAACGCAGCAAUGGCGUAAGACGUAAUGUUUAAUCAAACAAUUUAUGGGCUGUGGGUUGCAACUUACUGGACUGGGUAGAACCUGUACUAAUUUAUUACAGUAUCCCCCAAUAAAGAGCGCUGCGUUUCUUCCAAUGAAAGAAAUGAAAUUCAGGCUCGCCGACAAUUAGGCACCUCUAUACAAACGAUAGCCGUGAGGCUGGCGGUUUUGUAAAAGACACGAGGUCAUCGGUUACCAGUAGUGCUUCUCUUUUUACUCGCAGCUCUAUACUAA
RNAcentral lists this non-coding RNA (335 nucleotides) under Xenorhabdus budapestensis. Its description in RNAcentral is "rne5". It matches the Rfam family "RNase E 5' UTR element". From Rfam's summary of the family: This family represents a conserved element found in the 5' UTR of RNase E mRNA. RNase E is a key regulatory enzyme in the pathway of mRNA degradation in E. coli that is able to auto-regulate the degradation of its own mRNA in response to changes in RNase E activity. The record is from RNAcentral. Lineage: Bacteria; Pseudomonadati; Pseudomonadota; Gammaproteobacteria; Enterobacterales; Morganellaceae.